Molecule: small nuclear RNA, 107 nt
Organism: Otolemur garnettii (small-eared galago)
Lineage: Eukaryota; Metazoa; Chordata; Mammalia; Primates; Galagidae
Source: Ensembl
GUGCUUGCUUUAGCAGCACAUAUACUAAAAUUAAAACAAUACAGAGAAGAUUAGCAUGGCCCCUGCCCAAGGAUGACACACAAAUUAGUGAAGCAUUCCAUUUAAAA